Molecule: ribosomal RNA, 250 nt
Filed under: uncultured bacterium
Lineage: Bacteria
Description: partial 16S ribosomal RNA
Rfam family: Bacterial small subunit ribosomal RNA
Source: RNAcentral
UACGGAGGGUGCAAGCGUUGUUCGGAAUUACUGGGCUUAAAGCGCGUGUAGGCGGGAUGCCAAGUGUCGUGUGAAAGCCCCGGGCUCAACCCGGGAAUUGCGCGGCAAACUGGUGUUCUUGAGGCAAGUAGAGGUGACUGGAACGACCGGUGGAGCGGUGAAAUGCGUAGAUAUCGGUUGGAACGCCGGAGGCGAAAGCGGGUCACUGGGCUUGUCCUGACGCUAAGACGCGAAAGCGUGGGGAGCAAAC